RNAcentral lists this long non-coding RNA (202 nucleotides) under Elaeis guineensis (African oil palm). RNAcentral's name for it is "long non-coding RNA (EGUI_LNC055586)". The record is from RNAcentral. Lineage: Eukaryota; Viridiplantae; Streptophyta; Magnoliopsida; Arecales; Arecaceae.
UCCUCACCAUCCCUCACCCACUGAUUUUUCACCUUCUUAUAUCCCAUAUGGUGGAAUGAAUGUAUAGUGUAAUAAUUAAUGUGUGUAAGAACUCUAGAAUCUUCACCUUCCAAAUUAACUUUAGCAUCUAUAAAAAUCAAGGUGAAGACCAUUCCAUAGGGGAGGCACGCUUUAGUCCUGGAUCUCCUUACAGCAUUCUUUA